AACGAACGCUGGCGGCAUGCCUAACACAUGCAAGUCGAACGAGACCUUCGGGUCUAGUGGCGCACGGGUGCGUAACGCGUGGGAAUCUGCCCUUCGGUUGGGAAUAACUGAGAGAAAUUUCAGCUAAUACCUUAUAAUGUCUUCGGACCAAAGAUUUAUCGCCGAGGGAUGAGCCCGCGUAGGAUUAGGUAGUUGGUGGGGUAAUGGCCUACCAAGCCGACGAUCCUUAGCUGGUCUGAGAGGAUGAUCAGCCACACUGGGACUGAGACACGGCCCAGACUCCUACGGGAGGCAGCAGUGGGGAAUAUUGGACAAUGGGCGAAAGCCUGAUCCAGCAAUGCCGCGUGAGUGAUGAAGGCCUUAGGGUUGUAAAGCUCUUUUACCCGGGAUGAUAAUGACAGUACCGGGAGAAUAAGCUCCGGCUAACUCCGUGCCAGCCGCCGCAGUAA
Molecule: ribosomal RNA, 449 nt
Filed under: uncultured bacterium
Lineage: Bacteria
Description: partial 16S ribosomal RNA
Rfam family: Bacterial small subunit ribosomal RNA
Source: RNAcentral